UAGCAGAGCUCUGCUCAGGACUCAGUCUGGGCUUACACUGGAGAUCAGUCUCCGCAUGUUUGGACACUCUGCACGGCCCUGGUGCCAUGCUAGCCUGGCUGUGAGGAACAUCAUGUCACAGUCUUGGUUUAUUUCAGCUCUGAGAGUCACCCAGACUUAAUUAUCUUUUUCAUGACGUCUGUUUGGAGACAAUCUAAAAAAUGCAGCCUUGGAAGAAUGGAAGUCAUUCACAUCUGGGAUGGCAUAAGGAGCUGUCGGGAUGGAUUUCACGGGAAAUUACAUACAUACUUCAUUCGCCAGUGUGUGUUGACAUCAUAUCCGUACACAGAGAAAAUAAGCUCCGGCUACUGUAGCGCGUGUAUGGUGUGGGAGUAGCUGAAAGUUUGUCACAACGAACGAGAAAAAUUUGCCAUGGUUCAUCCAAAAUGGCAAACCCAGAGGAAUCACCAGUUGUAAAAACAAAGAAACCCCAAACAGAGCAGAGUCUACAAGCAAAAAGAGAAAGUGAGAGAGUCCGUAAUAAAACCUGAAUCAACAUCGGCUUGGCUUUUCAGAGAUGGCGACAACUCCGAGAUCUGAAAGGAUUUAAAAGCAACCCAGAAAUGGCUUUUUUCUUACUCAACAGAUGUCCUGUAUCCAGUGUACACCAUUGCCUCGAACCACAUUCAUCCACGGAGAGGAGCAGAGCUGAAGCACAACUUGCGUCAUUACCAAAACAAUGGUCUUCCGCAAGACACGUGCAGUUUUAUUUUUUAACCACUAGAGGGCCAAAAGUUACAUAGUGUAGCUAUGUUAUCUACUGAAUCCUAUCUGGCUAAGCGGGAAUGUGAUCGUGGUCAAGUGAAAACUAGAGUGAACAUUGGCAGGGUAUUUGAUUCCUGGAGGGACCCAAAACCGACUCUGAAUUGGCGUUCUUCUUAUUGGACAGGGUACUUAGCUUUACAGGCUCCAUAUGGUUAGGAUGAGGAUGGCGGCAGGAUUCGGGCAUCUGCUACCUCCCAGGUACAAACUGAGACCCCUUUGUACAAUGGGUACAUUUUACCUGGAAACUGGAGCUCACAAGUGCCCAUACGUUCAACAACACUUCCAGAGUCGGCCUGUCUGUGAAGUCAUUAGCCCCUUUCACACAUGCAACCAGUGCCUAUAAAAAGUAUUCAUUACUGAGAUGGGAAAGACUGUGCAUACAACUGUUGCCCAGGUUCUUCAUCAGUCACAGCUUUUUGGGAGUAUGAAAUCUCGGCUAGAGUUUGCCAGAAGGCAUGUGGGAGACUCUAAAGUCAGCUGGAAGAAGAUUCUAUGGUCUGAUAAGACCAAAAUUGAGCUUUUUGGCCAUCAAACCAGACGCUAUGUUUGGCACGAACCGAAAACAGCACAUAAUCAAAAAUACACCAUCCCCACCAUGAAGCACGGUGGUGGUAGCAUCAUGCUGUGGGGAUGCUUCUCUGCAUCAAGCCCUGGAAGGACUGUAAAGGUAGAGGGUAGAAUUAAUGCUGCAAAAUACAGGGAAAUCCUGGAGGAAAACCUGAAGCAGUCUGCAAGAGAACUGAGACUUGGGAGAAGAUUUGUUUUCCAGCAAGACAACAAUCCCAAUCAUACAGACAAAGCUACACAAGAAUGGUUUCAAAACAACGCUGUAAAUGUCCUGGAGUGGCCAAGUCAGAGUCCAGACCUUAACCCAAAUAAAAAUCUGUGGAUGGACUUGAAAAAGGCUGUGCACUCACGAUACCCACAAAACCGGACAGAGCUUGAGCAGUUUUGCAAAGAAGAAUGGGGAAAAAUUGAAGUGUCCAGAUGUGCCAUGUUGAUAGAAACCCAUCCACAUUGGCUCAAGGCUGUAAUUGCUGCCAAAGGUGCAUCUACAUACUUACUUGAAGGGGGUGAAUACUUAUACAACCAAGUAUUUUGUGUUUAAUUUUUUAAUUUUAUUUUAAUUUUAUUUAUUUUUUAUAAAUUUAGACUAAUUGGUAGAAAUGUGUUUUGACUUAGGUAUGAAAGUCUUUUUUCUGUUGAUCAGUGUAAAAAAAAAUCAUAAUUUCACUUUGAUUCAAUAUUAAAAACAAUAAAAUAUAUAAACAUCCAUAUUUUUAUAGGCACUGUAAGUAAGGAGGCUAAAACAAGCUCUAAAUCUCAGUUACUAGAAUGGAGAAACAAUUCCAAAGCUUCAUUGAGCAUAAAGACUAUGCAAGCGAUGUUAUAUUUUAGUGUUAACUUUUCAGUUUUUACUCUCACACAAAUGCAAUGACAUUUGGACUGGUUAGAUUUUGUUAAGGAAAACCAUAACAUCUACCGAUGCAGAAAAUUAAACAUUAUAUUAAGGAUAAGUACUAAAACUUGUCAAUAACACCCAAACACACAAUGAUAUGGUGACCAUAUGGUACAUGUAUGCAUCCAUGCCUCAUUGAGUCCACUAAAUCCACAGGAAUGAAAACAAUUUAUCUAGCAUCUAAAUCUGAAUGCUUGGCAUGAUGUGUUUGGCACUACAAGGUGAGACAGAGUUUAGCUAUUAUGCCACCCGCAGCUGGAACCAGCUUCCAUAAGGGGUCAGGUGUGCUCCAACAGUAGCCACAUUCAAGUCCAGUCUAAAAAACACAUAUUUUUAUCUGUGCAUUUAUUCACUGAGCACUGUGCUGCACUUACUGAUUAUACAGCAUCAUUUUAUUUCUUCAUUCUUUUUCUUUUCUUUUUUAUUCAUUUUAAUAAUUUUUACUUUUUUAAAUUUAUUUUAUAACUUUGUAUUCCUAUUUCUUGUUCUUAAUUGGUUUUAAAAUUUAUUUUAUCUUGUAUUUCACUCUGAAUUGCCAUUGUGAAAUGUGCUACAUAAACUUGCCUUGCCUUGCCUUACUACAAUUAUGAAUGCAAAAAUUUGCAUGGCUAUCUACUGCCCAUUUAUGUGAAGAAACUACAAAGUCAGCAGUAAAACUAAAUCAGUUGUGUUACUUGUGUAUGAAAGGAUCGGCUUGAACAGACAGGCAGCUUUACUUUUUGCCAACUUUCCUCUUCUCUGCCACCCACCAGUCUUCUCCACGUAGUGUUUCUUUUGGAUAUUCCAGAGAACUGCAGUCAAAAAAAAAACAAAAAAAAAAACUGCUUUUAAUCAGCACAGUGUGGUUCUUGAGUUUAGACCCCUAUCACCAGGGGUCCACCACUUUGAAAGUCACCCUCUGUUGCUCUGUUUUUUUCCCUCCUGGAAGUUGUGUGGGCUACAUGCCCCCUUAAAGCACAUGGAACCUCUGUUUCAUCUGCCAGCGUGGUUCCCAUUUUUUCAAUAAAAUGGAAGAACAAAUGUGGCUUUUCAAUAUAACAGAAAGGGACUAAGAGAUUAAGAUGCAUUACAUCACUCGAUUC
This is a long non-coding RNA of Myxocyprinus asiaticus (Chinese sucker), 3345 nucleotides long. RefSeq lists it as uncharacterized. The transcript has 7 exons. NCBI's taxonomy places the organism in Eukaryota, Metazoa, Chordata, Actinopteri, Cypriniformes, Catostomidae. The record is from RefSeq and is a predicted model, not a curated record.